Unclassified non-coding RNA from Pongo abelii (Sumatran orangutan), 148 nucleotides. It matches the Rfam family "Metazoan signal recognition particle RNA". From Rfam's summary of the family: The signal recognition particle (SRP) is a universally conserved ribonucleoprotein. It is involved in the co-translational targeting of proteins to membranes. The eukaryotic SRP consists of a 300-nucleotide 7S RNA and six proteins: SRPs 72, 68, 54, 19, 14, and 9. The record is from Ensembl. Lineage: Eukaryota; Metazoa; Chordata; Mammalia; Primates; Hominidae.
GCUGGGCGUGGUAGUGCAUGCCUGUAAUCCCAGCUACCUGGGAGGCUGAGACAGGAGAAUCACUUGAACCUGGGAGGCAGAGAUUGCAGUGAGCCAAGAUCAUGCCACUGCAUUCCAGCCUGGGUGACAGAGCGAGACCCUGUCUCAA